Molecule: ribosomal RNA, 529 nt
Filed under: bacterium enrichment culture clone Cont57_3130
Lineage: Bacteria
Description: bacterial SSU rRNA
Rfam family: Bacterial small subunit ribosomal RNA
Source: RNAcentral
AGAGUUUGAUCAUGGCUCAGAACGAACGCUGGYGGCGUGCUUAACACAUGCAAAGUCGAAACGCGAAAAGUUUUCUUCGGGAAGACGAGUAGAGUGGCGCACGGGUGAGUAACGCGUAAGUAAUCUACCCCGGCAUCUGGAAUAACUCACCGAAAGGUGUGCUAAUACCGGAUACGUUGGUAACAAGAAAGGUGGCCUCUGCAUAUGCUACCGUGCUGGGAUGAGCUUGCGUACCAUUAGCUAGUUGGUAGGGUAAAGGCCUACCAAGGCGACGAUGGUUAGCGGGUCUGAGAGGAUGAUCAGCCACACUGGAACUGAGACACGGUCCAGACUCCUACGGGAGGCAGCAGUGGGGAAUUUUGCGCAAUGGGGGAAACCCUGACGCAGCAACGCCGCGUGAGUGAUGAAGGCUUUCGGGUCGUAAAGCUCUGUCAGAGGGGAAGAAAUGUAUGGAUGCUAAUACCAUCUUUACUUGACGGUACCCUCARAGGAAGCACCGGCUAACUCCGUGCCAGCCGCCGCGGUAAUA